This 65-nucleotide transfer RNA is filed under the name Dipodomys ordii (Ord's kangaroo rat). It matches the Rfam family "tRNA". Rfam says of the family: Transfer RNA (tRNA) molecules are approximately 80 nucleotides in length. Their secondary structure includes four short double-helical elements and three loops (D, anti-codon, and T loops). Lineage: Eukaryota; Metazoa; Chordata; Mammalia; Rodentia; Heteromyidae. The record is from Rfam by way of RNAcentral.
GGUGGCUCAGUGGUAGAGUGCUUGCCUUGCAUGCAUGAAGCCCGGGGUUCGAUUCCUCAGCACCA